Molecule: ribosomal RNA, 773 nt
Filed under: uncultured Neocallimastigales
Lineage: Eukaryota; Fungi; Neocallimastigomycota; Neocallimastigomycetes; Neocallimastigales
Description: partial large subunit ribosomal RNA
Rfam family: Eukaryotic large subunit ribosomal RNA
Source: RNAcentral
CGAGCACGCGCGUGUGGCAUAUCAAUAAGCGGAGGAAAAGAAACUAACAAGGAUUCCCUUAGUAACGGCGAGUGAAGCGGGAAGAGCUCAAAUUUGAAAUCUUCAAGGUUCUACCUUGACGAAUUGUAGUUUAUAGAAGUGUUUUCUGUUAGAGAGUUGGUAAAAGUUCUUUGGAAUAGGACAUCAUAGAGGGUGAGAAUCCCGUAUUUGGUCAUUCCUCCUAGCGUUGUGAUACACUUUCAACGAGUCGGAUUGUUUGGGAAUGCAGUCCAAAAUGGGCGGUAAAUUUCAUCUAAAGCUAAAUAUUGGCGAGAGACCGAUAGCGAACAAGUACCGUGAGGGAAAGAUGAAAAGAACUUUGAAAAGAGAGUUAAACAGUACGUGAAAUUGUCAAAAGGGAAGCGUUUGACACCAGUGUUGUUUUUCCGAAAAUCAAUUAUGAAUGGCUUGAUUUUAAGUUUCAUGACCUUAAAAGCUUGUUUCUUAUUUUUCAUGUCUUUCGUAAUGCACUUUUCGGUUAACAAGUCAACAUCAAUUUCUUUUGUUGUAAAAGGGUAUGAGGAAGGUGGCUUUAAUUUCGGUUAAAGUGUUUAUAGCCUUUUACCCCUGCAAUCGGAGAGAUUGAGGUCUGCAGCGUAGAUCCUUCGGGGUUAGAUACAUUUGUGCUAAGCUAUAGCCUUGUAUAGACAACUUGUUGACUAUGCUCAGUCAUGUAGCUUACUCGCUUAUGCUAUUUUACCUACGCUUAGGAUGUUGAACUCUAUCACACACAG